Molecule: long non-coding RNA, 285 nt
Filed under: Setaria viridis
Lineage: Eukaryota; Viridiplantae; Streptophyta; Magnoliopsida; Poales; Poaceae
Description: long non-coding RNA (SVIR_LNC009642)
Source: RNAcentral
UUCUAGUCGGUUAAGAAGUUAUCUGUACGGGGCUAUAAAUAGCUACCUUUGUAGAUCUGUAAUCAUCAACUACUCAAUACAACAAGCUACUAUUACUUCGUACUUACUUUCAAGCAGGCGACUUCGCCAAAUACUUUCUCUUUUUUCACGAGUUCGUACGGGUUGGCAGGGCUGCAUCAACUUGAUCUCCAACCGAUCUUGUAAGUUCCGUUUACCGAGUAAAUUCUAAGCCUUAACUUCGGGCACAUCGCUGUUGUUUCGUUUAGAUUUAUUCACUAGUUAUCG